Molecule: ribosomal RNA, 346 nt
Filed under: uncultured Nitrosomonadaceae bacterium
Lineage: Bacteria; Pseudomonadati; Pseudomonadota; Betaproteobacteria; Nitrosomonadales; Nitrosomonadaceae
Description: bacterial SSU rRNA
Rfam family: Bacterial small subunit ribosomal RNA
Source: RNAcentral
ACAGGUGCUGCAUGGCUGUCGUCAGCUCGUGUCGUGAGAUGUUGGGUUAAGUCCCGCAACGAGCGCAACCCUUGUCAUUAGUUGCUACAUUUAGUUGGGCACUCUAAUGAGACUGCCGGUGACAAACCGGAGGAAGGUGGGGAUGACGUCAAGUCCUCAUGGCCCUUAUGGGUAGGGCUUCACACGUAAUACAAUGGCGCGUACAGAGGGUUGCCAAGCCGCGAGGUGGAGCCAAUCCCAGAAAGCGCGUCGUAGUCCGGAUUGCAGUCUGCAACUCGACUGCAUGAAGUCGGAAUCGCUAGUAAUCGCGGAUCAGCAUGUCGCGGUGAAUACGUUCCCGGGUCUU